AUAAGCAAAAUAAGGGCGUAUGGGGAAUGCCUAGGCUCUCAGAGGCGAAGAAGGACGUGAUAAGCUGCGAAAAGCUACGGGGAUCGGCACACACGACUUGAUCCGUAGAUAUCCGAAUGGGGCAACCCACUAUGUUGAAGACAUAGUAUCCUUUAUAGGAGGCGAACCCGCUGAACUGAAACAUCUAAGUAGGCGGAGGAGAAGAAAACAAAAGUGAUUCCGUAAGUAGUGGCGAGCGAACGCGGAAUAGCCCAAACCAAAGUUGUUACGGCAAUUUUGGGGUUGUAGGACCACGACAUUUCUUGCGGAUUGAAUUAGAAUUACCUGGAAAGGUAAACCGAAGAGGGUGAUAGUCCCGUAUAAGUAAGAGAAGAUAAGAAUAGUGGUAUCCUGAGUAGGUCGGGGCACGUGAAACCC
Molecule: ribosomal RNA, 417 nt
Filed under: Myroides marinus
Lineage: Bacteria; Pseudomonadati; Bacteroidota; Flavobacteriia; Flavobacteriales; Flavobacteriaceae
Description: partial 23S ribosomal RNA
Rfam family: Bacterial large subunit ribosomal RNA
Source: RNAcentral